Molecule: ribosomal RNA, 253 nt
Filed under: uncultured bacterium
Lineage: Bacteria
Description: partial 16S ribosomal RNA
Rfam family: Bacterial small subunit ribosomal RNA
Source: RNAcentral
UACGUAGGGGGCAAGCGUUGUCCGGAUUUAUUGGGCGUAAAGAGCGUGUAGGCGGCUUUACAGGUCCGUUGUGAAAACUCGAGGCUCAACCUCGAGACGCCGGUGGAAACCGUAAAGCUAGAGUCCGGAAGAGGAAAGUGGAAUUCCAAGUGUAGCGGUGAAAUGCGUAGAGAUUUGGAGGAACACCAGUGGCGAAGGCGACUUUCUGGUCUGUAACUGACGCUGAGGCGCGAAAGCGUGGGGAGCAAACAGG